Molecule: ribosomal RNA, 490 nt
Filed under: uncultured Flavobacterium sp.
Lineage: Bacteria; Pseudomonadati; Bacteroidota; Flavobacteriia; Flavobacteriales; Flavobacteriaceae
Description: partial 16S ribosomal RNA
Source: RNAcentral
CACGGAGUUAGCCGAUCCUUAUUCUUACGAUACCGUCAAGACAUUACACGUAAUGUUGUUUCUUCUCGUAUAAAAGCAGUUUACAAUCCAUAGGACCGUCAUCCUGCACGCGGCAUGGCUGGAUCAGGCUUGCGCCCAUUGUCCAAUAUUCCUCACUGCUGCCUCCCGUAGGAGUCUGGUCCGUGUCUCAGUACCAGUGUGGGGGAUCUCCCUCUCAGGACCCCUACCCAUCGUAGCCUUGGUAAGCCGUUACCUUACCAACUAGCUAAUGGGACGCAUGCUCAUCUUUCACCGUUGUGACUUUAAUAUAAUCCUGAUGCCAGGUCUAUAUACUAUGAGGUAUUAAUCCAAAUUUCUCUGGGCUAUCCCUCUGUGAAAGGUAGAUUGCAUACGCGUUACGCACCCGUGCGCCGGUCUCUAGCUCCGAAGAACUAUACCCCUCGACUUGCAUGUGUUAAGCCUGCCGCUAGCGUUCAUCCUGAGCCAGGUA